CAUGCACGCUCUAAGUACAAACUAAAUGAUGGUGAAACUGCAAAUGGCUCAUUACAACGGUUAUGAUGUACCCGGGAGUUCCGAUGGAUAUUUCCAGUAACACUAGAACUAAUACAUGCUCCUGCGUUUAUUAGUUUCGCACAGUCCGUCGCUGAGUCAUGGUAAACAGUUGAUCGACUCGACGUCCCGGAACAGUUUCCGCCCCAUCAGCUUCGAUGGUUGGGUAUUGGCCUACCAUUGCAACAACGGGUAACGAGGAAUUAGGGUUUGAUUUCGGAGAGGGAGCCUGAGAAACGGCUACCACAUCUACGGAUGGCAGCAGGCGCGCAAAUUACCCAAUGCAGACUCUGUGAGGUAGUGACGAGAAAUAAUAAAGCGGGACUUCUGUUUCGCUAUUAUAAUGAGGAAUAACCAAAGGUCAUUCCGAUUAGCAACUGAUGGGAAAGUCUGGUGCCAGCAGCCGCGGUAAUACCAGCGUCAGUAGCAUAUAUUAAAAUUGUUGCAGUUAAAACGUCCGUAGUCUGUACGUCGUCCCAAACUCACUGCAGUCUUCCGUUUUCUUCAUUGAAUGCGGUAGUUUCUGCAGUCACUCCCUUGAUCAAAUUAGGUUGUUCAAGGUAGACCAAGUCUUCAUAUUUUCACAUGGAAUUGGGUGAGGGAACUUAAGAGUUUAAGUUUCUCGUCUUAGGAUCAUCCGGGGUCAUUCGUACUCGUCCGCGAGAGGUGAAAUUCUUGGACCGGACGAAGACGACCAGCAGCGAAAGCAUCUGUCAGGGAUGUUUUCUGCGACAAAGGACGAAGGUCAGGGUAUCGAAGACGAUUAGAUACCGUCGUAG
This 836-nucleotide ribosomal RNA is filed under the name uncultured alveolate. RNAcentral's name for it is "bacterial SSU rRNA". It matches the Rfam family "Eukaryotic small subunit ribosomal RNA", at positions 50 to 1023 of the family's 1831-position model. The record is from RNAcentral.